This 484-nucleotide ribosomal RNA is filed under the name uncultured bacterium. Its description in RNAcentral is "partial 16S ribosomal RNA". It matches the Rfam family "Bacterial small subunit ribosomal RNA", at positions 30 to 507 of the family's 1533-position model. The record is from RNAcentral.
AUUGAACGCUGGCGGCAGGCCUAACACAUGCAAGUCGAGCGGAUGAAGGGAGCUUGCUCCUGGAUUCAGCGGCGGACGGGUGAGUAAUGCCUAGGAAUCUGCCUGGUAGUGGGGGAUAACGUCCGGAAACGGGCGCUAAUACCGCAUACGUCCUGAGGGAGAAAGUGGGGGAUCUUCGGACCUCACGCUAUCAGAUGAGCCUAGGUCGGAUUAGCUAGUUGGUGGGGUAAAGGCCUACCAAGGCGACGAUCCGUAACUGGUCUGAGAGGAUGAUCAGUCACACUGGAACUGAGACACGGUCCAGACUCCUACGGGAGGCAGCAGUGGGGAACAUUGGACAAUGGGCGAAAGCCUGAUCCAGCCAUGCCGCGUGUGUGAAGAGGGUCUUCGGAUUGUAAAGCACUUUAAGUUGGGAGGAAGGGCAGUAAGUUAAUACCUUGCUGUUUUGACGUUACCAACAGAAUAAGCACCGGCUAACUUCGUG